UACGUAGGUGGCAAGCGUUGUCCGGAUUUACUGGGCGUAAAGAGCGCGCAGGCGGUCGUUCAAGUCGCGUGUGAAAGCCCCCGGCUCAACUGGGGAGGGUCACGCGAUACUGAUCGACUCGAAGGCAGGAGAGGGUAGUGGAAUUCCCGGUGUAGUGGUGAAAUGCGUAGAUAUCGGGAGGAACACCAGUGGCGAAGGCGACUACCUGGCCUGUUCUUGACGCUGAGACGCGAAAGCGUGGGGAGCGAACCGG
This 253-nucleotide ribosomal RNA is filed under the name uncultured bacterium. RNAcentral's name for it is "partial 16S ribosomal RNA". It matches the Rfam family "Bacterial small subunit ribosomal RNA", at positions 524 to 776 of the family's 1533-position model. The record is from RNAcentral.